Molecule: transfer RNA, 63 nt
Filed under: Chyliza chikuni
Lineage: Eukaryota; Metazoa; Arthropoda; Insecta; Diptera; Psilidae
Description: tRNA-Cys
Source: RNAcentral
AGCUUUAUAGUCAAUAAUGAUAUUAGACUGCAAUUCUAAAGAGGUAAGUAAUUACUAAGGCUU